CGCCGGGAAGGCGCAGCCGCCGGCCGUGCGCUCCCCGGGGCUGCGCGCCCCCCGCGCGUCUCGCAGCGCCCCGCACAACAAUAAUAUUUUUGAAGGCCAUAUCCAGAUUCUAGAGGAAGGCUCUUAACCAUCCAGUUGGGACAGAAAAGAAACUUGGAGGAGCUCCCUGCAUUUUUGAAAGAUGUGGCAAACUUCUUUAUAUUUUGAGGUAUAAGCCAACUUGGGGAUGGACAAAGUUACCUCAGUAUGAAGUCUGCAUUCAAACAUCGUACUACUUUCCUGUGCUUUGCUCUCUCACAAUGCCCGUGUGAAUAACCAAACCCGCAAAAGUCCCCUAAGAUCUUCACCCAUUUUUCGUGAGAAAUGUUGUCACCAUAACAUGCUUCCUCAUGCUAAAAGAGCACAAGUAGGCUGACCUCAGCACACAAUAGAAAUGGUUGGAGUGGCGGAAGGAGACAUCUGAUAAAUUUGGAAUGAACAUCUAAUUCUCCCCAGGAUGCUCUGAAUGUAAAUUUGGAAAGAGGAAUCUGUCCGAAUAAUUAUAGUUUAAAAGCCGAAUUCCAAAUAUAAUUAUUUUCUUUGCUUUUUUGUUGGUGCACAUUGCAUACAUGCUGGAAGAGAUUUCUUUUUUGUGGUUGCUAUGGUAAAAAGCAGUCCCCAGUUCUUUUACUUAAAACCCAUGAACUGCAAUUAACUGUUUAAUGUUGUAACAUGCAACAGCUCUAGUAGCACCUUAACAGCUUUGAGCAUGAUACUCCCAUCAUCUCAGCAGAUGGUGAUUUUUGGCAUUCUGUGUUUUCAAUGUAUUCUUCUCCUGUAUAAUCUCUGCCAUUAUAUCUUCUGACAAAUGCUUCUGGAAUAAAUUCUAAUUUGAUUGUGCUGAGACAUUCCUCAGAUCUUUUUGCAUUUCUGUUAAAGAUGACCAAUAUAUGAAAAAAAAAGUUUGUAUGUGUACCCCAUCAACAAUUAUAAAACCAGAAUUUAAAGUAAGAAUCUGUUUCUUCUUAUCUGUAACCAUCAAAAUACAGUCUUAAAAUGUAUUUAGUAUACUACAGGAGCCCUACACCUGAACAGAGAAGGAGACAUGAAUGAUUCUUUUGUGAAGAAAGAGUAACCCUGAAUGUUUAUCAAGAGUCUGAAUUAAAUAAGAGUUCCCAAUUUCAACUUGUUUUACUCUUUAUUAUUAUUUCUAUAGAGCUGGAGACUAAAUUCCUCAUGAAUUUUCCUCAUUGUUUUAAAGAUUUAUGACUAAUAUAAAUCCUUUUCAAUAGGGAGUUGCAAUCAUAUUUAGAAAAAUUUUGACUUUGUCCAGAUAUUAUCUAAAGCAAGAUUAUCUGGUGAAACUGUUUUUCAGCUACUCUCCCUCUUUCUCCCAUGGUAUAAAUACAUUUGUAUUCCAUUUCUAAUUUUGGGUUUCAGUUAGAAAUGAAUUAUUUGGAUUUAAAAUCAGGACUGUUCUUCAUAUUGCUGUUUGAAGGGAUUUUAUGUAUUAAGCAGGCAGGACACUUCAGAUGUGUAAUUCUGUAAUACAGGACCAAAUCAACUUUCUUUGGUACCUUCAGCAGCAUUUCUUCUUCUUUAGGAAAAGAAAACAAGAGGAGAAAAGGAAAAGAUUGGUUUUCCAGAAUCAUAACAAGAUAAUUUUGCGGUUUCAGGUUUUAAAAUAUAAAUGUCUCAUUCGUAGCUA
Molecule: long non-coding RNA, 1687 nt
Organism: Pseudopipra pipra
Lineage: Eukaryota; Metazoa; Chordata; Aves; Passeriformes; Pipridae
Exons: 4
Source: RefSeq, a predicted model, not a curated record